This 253-nucleotide ribosomal RNA is filed under the name uncultured bacterium. RNAcentral's name for it is "partial 16S ribosomal RNA". It matches the Rfam family "Bacterial small subunit ribosomal RNA", at positions 524 to 776 of the family's 1533-position model. The record is from RNAcentral.
UACGAAGGGGGCUAGCGUUGUUCGGAAUUACUGGGCGUAAAGCGCGUGUAGGCGGGGCGUUAAGUUGGGGGUGAAAGCCCAGAGCUCAACUCUGGAAUUGCCUUCGAUACUGGCGGCCUGGAGCAUGAUAGAGGCGAGUGGAAUUGCGAGUGUAGAGGUGAAAUUCGUAGAUAUUCGCAGGAACACCAGUGGCGAAGGCGACUCGCUGGAUCAUUGCUGACGCUGAGACGCGCAAGCGUGGGGAGCAAAUAGG